Molecule: ribosomal RNA, 551 nt
Filed under: uncultured Acaulosporaceae
Lineage: Eukaryota; Fungi; Glomeromycota; Glomeromycetes; Diversisporales; Acaulosporaceae
Description: SSU rRNA
Rfam family: Eukaryotic small subunit ribosomal RNA
Source: RNAcentral
UUGGAGGGCAAGUCUGGUGCCAGCAGCCGCGGUAAUUCCAGCUCCAAUAGCGUAUAUUAAAGUUGUUGCAGUUAAAAAGCUCGUAGUUGAAUUUCGGGGUUCAUACGUUGGUCGGGCUUUUUGGUCUGUACUAGCGUAAUGGAUUCCUACCUUCUGAAUAACCGGCAUGCCAUUAAUUUGGUGCGCCGGGGAAGCAGGACUGUUACCUUGAAAAAAUUAGAGUGCUUAAAGCAGGCUAUCGCCUGAAUACAUUAGCAUGGAAUAAUGAAAUAGGACGGCAUGGUUCUAUUUUGUUGGUUUCUAGGAUCACCGUAAUGAUUAAUAGGGAUAGUUGGGGGCAUUAGUAUUCAAUUGUCAGAGGUGAAAUUCUUGGAUUUAUUGAAGACUAACUUCUGCGAAAGCAUUUGCCAAGGAUGUUUUCAUUAAUCAAGAACGAAAGUUAGGGGAUCGAAGACGAUCAGAUACCGUCGUAGUCUUAACCAUAAACUAUGCCGACUAGGGAUCGGACGAUGUUAAUUUUUUUAAUGACUCGUUCGGCGCCUACGGGAAAC